AUUGAACGCUGGCGGCAGGCCUAACACAUGCAAGUCGAACGGUAACAGGAAGCAGCUUGCUGCUUCGCUGACGAGUGGCGGACGGGUGAGUAAUGUCUGGGAAGCUGCCUGAUGGAGGGGGAUAACUACUGGAAACGGUAGCUAAUACCGCAUAAUGUCGCAAGACCAAAGAGGGGGACCUUCGGGCCUCUUGCCAUCGGAUGUGCCCAGAUGGGAUUAGCUUGUUGGUGGGGUAACGGCUCACCAAGGCGACGAUCCCUAGCUGGUCUGAGAGGAUGACCAGCCACACUGGAACUGAGACACGGUCCAGACUCCUACGGGAGGCAGCAGUGGGGAAUAUUGCACAAUGGGCGCAAGCCUGAUGCAGCCAUGCCGCGUGUAUGAAGAAGGCCUUCGGGUUGUAGAGUACUUUCAGCGGGGAGGAAGGGAGUAAAGUUAAUACCUUUGCUCAUUGACGUUACCCGCAGAAGAAGCACCGGCUAACUCCGUG
RNAcentral lists this ribosomal RNA (490 nucleotides) under uncultured bacterium. RNAcentral's name for it is "partial 16S ribosomal RNA". It matches the Rfam family "Bacterial small subunit ribosomal RNA", at positions 30 to 507 of the family's 1533-position model. The record is from RNAcentral.